Molecule: ribosomal RNA, 1232 nt
Filed under: Escherichia coli
Lineage: Bacteria; Pseudomonadati; Pseudomonadota; Gammaproteobacteria; Enterobacterales; Enterobacteriaceae
Also listed under: 1 other name
Description: bacterial SSU rRNA
Rfam family: Bacterial small subunit ribosomal RNA
Source: RNAcentral
UUUAUGGAGAGUUUGAUCCUGGCUCAGGAUGAACGCUGGCGGCGUGCCUAAUACAUGCAAGUCGAGCGAACGGACGAGAAGCUUGCUUCUCUGAUGUUAGCGGCGGACGGGUGAGUAACACGUGGAUAACCUACCUAUAAGACUGGGAUAACUUCGGGAAACCGGAGCUAAUACCGGAUAAUAUUUUGAACCGCAUGGUUCAAAAGUGAAAGACGGUCUUGCUGUCACUUAUAGAUGGAUCCGCGCUGCAUUAGCUAGUUGGUAAGGUAACGGCUUACCAAGGCAACGAUGCAUAGCCGACCUGAGAGGGUGAUCGGCCACACUGGAACUGAGACACGGUCCAGACUCCUACGGGAGGCAGCAGUAGGGAAUCUUCCGCAAUGGGCGAAAGCCUGACGGAGCAACGCCGCGUGAGUGAUGAAGGUCUUCGGAUCGUAAAACUCUGUUAUUAGGGAAGAACAUAUGUGUAAGUAACUGUGCACAUCUUGACGGUACCUAAUCAGAAAGCCACGGCUAACUACGUGCCAGCAGCCGCGGUAAUACGUAGGUGGCAAGCGUUAUCCGGAAUUAUUGGGCGUAAAGCGCGCGUAGGCGGUUUUUUAAGUCUGAUGUGAAAGCCCACGGCUCAACCGUGGAGGGUCAUUGGAAACUGGAAAACUUGAGUGCAGAAGAGGAAAGUGGAAUUCCAUGUGUAGCGGUGAAAUGCGCAGAGAUAUGGAGGAACACCAGUGGCGAAGGCGACUUUCUGGUCUGUAACUGACGCUGAUGUGCGAAAGCGUGGGGAUCAAACAGGAUUAGAUACCCUGGUAGUCCACGCCGUAAACGAUGAGUGCUAAGUGUUAGGGGGUUUCCGCCCCUUAGUGCUGCAGCUAACGCAUUAAGCACUCCGCCUGGGGAGUACGACCGCAAGGUUGAAACUCAAAGGAAUUGACGGGGACCCGCACAAGCGGUGGAGCAUGUGGUUUAAUUCGAAGCAACGCGAAGAACCUUACCAAAUCUUGACAUCCUUUGACAACUCUAGAGAUAGAGCCUUCCCCUUCGGGGGACAAAGUGACAGGUGGUGCAUGGUUGUCGUCAGCUCGUGUCGUGAGAUGUUGGGUUAAGUCCCGCAACGAGCGCAACCCUUAAGCUUAGUUGCCAUCAUUAAGUUGGGCACUCUAAGUUGACUGCCGGUGACAAACCGGAGGAAGGUGGGGAUGACGUCAAAUCAUCAUGCCCCUUAUGAUUUGGGC